GAAAAAGCUAGUUAGAGUCAAGACUGCCACUGGAUGCCAUACCGAGACACUGGCUGCUUCCUUUUACUGAAAUCCUCCAUGUCACUGUUAAAAACCCCCUACUGAGAUGAGGAUUAUGAAAAAUACUGCAACUCACAGAUGGCAAACCACUUCAGGGACAGCUGCAAGAGCCAUUUCAAGAUAUUUGAAAAGAAACUGUACUAAAUAUGGACAUUAAAAUAUCCAGCAGGAAAGCAUUAACUAUUGCUAAAUAAUGAAUGCCAGAACCAUUCACCAUUCAUCAGCAAAAGCCAGGACAGCUGAGAUUUUUAGGAAGCAAUGAAACGUCAGUAUCAUAGCACACAGGCUCCAUGCUGGACCCAUGACAAACAUCUGCCAAGACCAUGAAAGGAUUAAACCAAGACACAGAAAAACUGCAAGUUUCUGCGGGCAUACAGGAGAUUCUUCACCAGCAUGUCACCAGAGAACAACACUCUGCAUGGCCAGAUAUACUGCCCAAAUGAAGGGACAGGGACAAAUUCAGCUUAACUGAAAUGAAUAGUUGUCUUCAGUGAAAUCUAGAUUCACCCCUUAUCCUCCACACACAGGUUAUUUUUCCAGACCUAAAAAUGGCAAUAAGGUAAGAAAAUUUAAAAUACAAAUGAUUUAUUGGAUAUUUAUUGAUCAAGUAAAUAUGUAUUGUAAACUCU
Molecule: long non-coding RNA, 689 nt
Filed under: Chrysolophus pictus (golden pheasant)
Lineage: Eukaryota; Metazoa; Chordata; Aves; Galliformes; Phasianidae
Description: lncRNA (ENSCPIG00010004392.1)
Source: RNAcentral